CACGUAGGGGGCAAGCGUUGUCCGGAUUUAUUGGGCGUAAAGAGCUCGUAGGCGGCUUGGUAAGUCGGGUGUGAAACCUCCAGGCUCAACCUGGAGACGCCACUCGAUACUGCUAUGGCUAGAGUCCGGAAGAGGAGAGUGGAAUUCCUGGUGUAGCGGUGAAAUGCGCAGAUAUCAGGAAGAACACCAAUGGCGAAAGCAGCUCUCUGGGACGGUACUGACGCUGAGACGCGAAAGCGUGGGGAGCGAACAGG
This 254-nucleotide ribosomal RNA is filed under the name uncultured bacterium. Its description in RNAcentral is "partial 16S ribosomal RNA". It matches the Rfam family "Bacterial small subunit ribosomal RNA", at positions 524 to 776 of the family's 1533-position model. The record is from RNAcentral.